UACGAAGGGGGCUAGCGUUGCUCGGAAUCACUGGGCGUAAAGGGUGCGUAGGCGGGUUUUUAAGUCAGGGGUGAAAUCCUGGAGCUCAACUCCAGAACUGCCUUUGAUUCUGAAGAUCUUGAGUUCGGGAGAGGUGAGUGGAACUGCGAGUGUAGAGGUGAAAUUCGUAGAUAUUCGCAAGAACCCCAGUGGCGAAGGCGGCUCACUGGGCCGAUACUGACGCUGAGGCACGAAAGCGUGGGGAGCAAACAGG
RNAcentral lists this ribosomal RNA (253 nucleotides) under uncultured bacterium. Its description in RNAcentral is "partial 16S ribosomal RNA". It matches the Rfam family "Bacterial small subunit ribosomal RNA", at positions 524 to 776 of the family's 1533-position model. The record is from RNAcentral.